This 76-nucleotide transfer RNA is filed under the name Desulfovibrio sp. RNAcentral's name for it is "tRNA-His". It matches the Rfam family "tRNA". Rfam says of the family: Transfer RNA (tRNA) molecules are approximately 80 nucleotides in length. Their secondary structure includes four short double-helical elements and three loops (D, anti-codon, and T loops). The record is from RNAcentral. Lineage: Bacteria; Pseudomonadati; Thermodesulfobacteriota; Desulfovibrionia; Desulfovibrionales; Desulfovibrionaceae.
GCGGAUGUAGCUCAGUUGGCAGAGCACUUGGUUGUGGCCCAAGGGGUCGUGGGUUCAAUCCCCAUCAUUCGCCCCA